RNAcentral lists this ribosomal RNA (484 nucleotides) under uncultured bacterium. RNAcentral describes it as "partial 16S ribosomal RNA". It matches the Rfam family "Bacterial small subunit ribosomal RNA", at positions 30 to 507 of the family's 1533-position model. The record is from RNAcentral.
AUUGAACGCUGGCGGCAUGCCUUACACAUGCAAGUCGAACGGCAGCACGGGAUCAAUCCUGGUGGCGAGUGGCGAACGGUUGAGUAAUACAUCGGAACGUGCCCAAUCGUGGGGGAUAACGCAGCGAAAGCUGUGCUAAUACCGCAUACGAUCUACGGAUGAAAGCAGGGGACCGCAAGGCCUUGCGCGAAUUGAGCGGCCGAUGGCAGAUUAGGUAGUUGGUGGGGUAAAGGCUCACCAAGCCAACGAUCCGUAGCUGGUCUGAGAGGACGACCAGACACACUGGGACUGAGACACGGCCCAGACUCCUACGGGGGGAAGCAGUGGGGAAUUUUGGACAAUGGGCGCAAGCCUGAUCCAGCCAUGCCGCGUGCAGGAUGAAGGCCUUCGGGUUGUAAACUGCUUUUGUACGGAACGAAACGGCCUUUUCUAAUAAAGAGGGCUAAUGACGGUACCGGAAGAAUAAGCACCGGCUAACUACGUG